UACCAGCUCUCCGAGUGGUGUGGAUGUUUAUUGGGCCUAAAGCAUCCGUAGCUGGCUGGGCAAGUCCCCUGUUAAAUCCACCGAUUUAAUCGUUGGUGUGCGGGGGAUACUGUUCGGCUAGGGGACGGGAGAGGCCGACGGUAUUUUCGGGGUAGGGGUGAAAUCCUAUAAUCCCGGGAAGACCACCAGUGGCGAAGGCUGUCGGCUAGAACGCGCCCGACGGUGAGGGAUGAAAGCGUGGGGGAGCGAACCGGAUUAGAUACCCGGGUAGUCCCAGCUGUAAACGAUGCAGGCUAGGUGUUUGGGCGGCCACGUGCCGCUCUAGUGCCGCAGAGAAGUCGUUAAGCCUGCCGCCUGGGGAGUACGGCCGCAAGGCUGAAACUUAAAGGAAUUGGCGGGGGAGCACCACAAGGGGUGAAGCUUGCUAGUUU
This 431-nucleotide ribosomal RNA is filed under the name uncultured archaeon. RNAcentral's name for it is "bacterial SSU rRNA". It matches the Rfam family "Archaeal small subunit ribosomal RNA", at positions 474 to 904 of the family's 1478-position model. The record is from RNAcentral.